UGCGGAUUCCAGUACGUCCCUAAGUGGCAGAAAUAACGUUGAACUAACAGCACUGCUAUCGUUAAUUAAAACAAACAUUCCCCAACUUGUGUUGAAAUCAUAUUGCGGAAGGUGUCGAAAUAUGUCAGUCAAAAAAGAUUCAUUAGUUUUAAUGCGACUAAAAGCAGAGAGGGAGUGAGACCGCCCGAGCUGACCACGGGUGGUAAAAACGAGCGUCCCUCCCCCUACGUUACCGUCCACGGAAGACAUUUAGCAUUUUUACAGCACGAGUACACACAGUCCUCUGAGGAGCAAUUUGCAUCUAUUUAACCUGCAAGUGAGUGACAUACAGACGCGUACAGGUGAAUAUAUUUAUUUCUUUUUGAAUAAAGAGACUGAACUCGGCGUCAACAUGGAGGACUGCGGCUUCCAGAGCCAGCUACUGUCCGUCAUGGAGGUCCUGGCCAAGGCAGCUGUGGCGGAGAUAACCCGGCGUGUGGAUGACAGCUGCGCGGUGCUACGGCUGGAGGUGAGCCAGAGCCGGCGGGACAUCGAGCUGCUGAAGCGGAAGAGUGAGGUGAUGGAGGCAGAGCUGAGGAGGAGCAGGAUGAGAGCCAGGAGGAAAGCGUUUUAUCCUCCAGCAGCAGAGAGAUUCUCUCCUUUAGUCCGAGUGGUGUUGAACAGAGGGAGACAGAGCACAUGUUGGGAUGCUGGGGCUCAAACUCAACCCCAGCAGUGUGCAGACGUGGAACGUGCUAAUGAAGCUGGACACAUCCUGAUCAAAGAGGAGUGUGCAGAGGAGGACCUGUGGAAGAACGAGUCAGAGGACAAACUCAGUGAGUACAAACCCUGUACACACUGGGCU
This 844-nucleotide long non-coding RNA is filed under the name Sander lucioperca (pikeperch). Its description in RNAcentral is "lncRNA (ENSSLUG00000020665.1)". Lineage: Eukaryota; Metazoa; Chordata; Actinopteri; Perciformes; Percidae. The record is from RNAcentral.